This 545-nucleotide unclassified non-coding RNA is filed under the name Hevea brasiliensis (rubber tree). The record is from RNAcentral. Lineage: Eukaryota; Viridiplantae; Streptophyta; Magnoliopsida; Malpighiales; Euphorbiaceae.
AGGAAGACAAAUCUACACCAUGUAAGUUUUUCAUAAUCCAUUGAGAAAUGGAGCCAGAGGAUCAUUUUCUCCUUGUGAUAAAACAUGUUCUCUCAAAGCAUUUUUGGACAUGGGUCAAUGCUGCAUGUGUCAUAAUAGAUCAGUACAUUCAACUUGGAUGAUAGGCAUAGAAGAUGUGAAAUAAAUUGAAGUUGUGAUGAUAAUACAAUCAAGAAAAUCAGUUCACUUGUUCUAUGCAGAAAAACUUGCUCCCCUUGAAACUACCAUUUGAUCACCCUCCCCUGACAUCAGUUUAUGUCAUUAAGAUAGAGCUCUUUAUGUCCUUUGUCUUCACAAGAUCUACCUGUAGGCUAGAAUGGUGUGCCAAAUAUUGGUCGGCUUCUGUAUGCUACCAGAACAACAGAUUCUCAUAAAAUAAGUUUGAUUCUGGAAUUUGCAUAACUAUAUACCAUUAAUAUCAUUUAUUCUCAUUAGUAUGACCUCAGUUUUGAUACAACUCUUCUAUUCCAGGUAUGGGAUGAUAUGAUUAUUGAUUCAGCCCUGAA